CAUGUAUUAAGGCUAACACCAUAUAUGUUUGUUUGUACCAUGAUAUAUAUUCAAAGUUAUUAAUAAAGAUAUAUUAAAAAAAUAUAUCCAUUAAAUCGAAAAAAGUGGACAAAGUCAUUAUACAAAAAUUCGGCUUUACAUAUUUCAUUGAGUAUAUCGAUCGUAGUAUCGAAACCUAAAAUACAAAACCCUAGAUCAAGAUCCUUGCAGAAGAAGUUAAAGUACAAAGUAUUGAUCGGAUCACCAUGGUCGAAUCGAUUGAGUGAUUUUCAUAGGAUUAACAUGAGGGUAUGGUGGAAGCGGGGGAGUAUCAUCAUCAGCUUCCAUCAUUUUAAACAAGUA
RNAcentral lists this long non-coding RNA (342 nucleotides) under Capsella grandiflora. RNAcentral's name for it is "long non-coding RNA (CGRA_LNC000441)". Lineage: Eukaryota; Viridiplantae; Streptophyta; Magnoliopsida; Brassicales; Brassicaceae. The record is from RNAcentral.